UCCGAAGUAGCUCAGUGGUAGAGCAUCCGGCUGUUAACCGGCAGGUCGUAGGUUCGAGUCCUACCUUCGGAGCCA
Molecule: transfer RNA, 75 nt
Filed under: Caryophanon tenue
Lineage: Bacteria; Bacillati; Bacillota; Bacilli; Caryophanales; Caryophanaceae
Description: tRNA-Asn
Rfam family: tRNA
About the family: Transfer RNA (tRNA) molecules are approximately 80 nucleotides in length.
Source: RNAcentral